AACAAACUGUCCUGUCUAUCUAGACUGUCUUGGCCUGGUGUUCAGAUGCCAUCUCUUCUGGGGACACUCGGUUGUAUAUGUUAACUACACACAUUAUAAGAUUGCUUUGAAUAAUAGCCUAUCCACUCUCUUUUUAGACAAGAACCCCCUGCGUCUUAUAUGACCCAACCAUGGCCAGCAGUAUUCAGUCUGCCAACCUUCCCUCCUGAACUGCAAGCUGCUCUCCAGAGGAAAGAUCCUGCCUUUAAAAGGAAGGACAAAUCACAUAUACGGGCAUUAUUGAUUCAAGUGCUGUUUGAUAAUGUCACUAAACACACUUGGUAUCCCAGUCACAAAAUGUAUGGAGAUGUCCUGGGGAGUUUGAUUACAAAAUUUCCAUUCUUAAGAGAUGGCAGUUCAUCUGGACAUGAGACAUUGUUAGAGUGCCUCC
Alosa alosa (allis shad) is the source of this 430-nucleotide long non-coding RNA. RefSeq lists it as uncharacterized. Lineage: Eukaryota; Metazoa; Chordata; Actinopteri; Clupeiformes; Clupeidae. The transcript has 3 exons. The record is from RefSeq and is a predicted model, not a curated record.